RNAcentral lists this transfer RNA (73 nucleotides) under Ornithorhynchus anatinus (platypus). It matches the Rfam family "tRNA". From Rfam's summary of the family: Transfer RNA (tRNA) molecules are approximately 80 nucleotides in length. Their secondary structure includes four short double-helical elements and three loops (D, anti-codon, and T loops). Lineage: Eukaryota; Metazoa; Chordata; Mammalia; Monotremata; Ornithorhynchidae. The record is from Rfam by way of RNAcentral.
AGCAGUGUGGCUUAGUGGAAAGAGCACAGGCUUGGAGUGUCGAAGGUUGUGGGUUCUAAUCCCAACUCCGCCA